Ribosomal RNA from Cottoperca gobio, 119 nucleotides. The record is from Ensembl. NCBI's taxonomy places the organism in Eukaryota, Metazoa, Chordata, Actinopteri, Perciformes, Bovichtidae.
GAUUACGGCCAUACCACACUGACAACGCCCGAUCUCGUCUGAUCUCGGAAGCUAAGCAGAGUUGGGCUGGGUCAGUACUUGGAUGGGUGACCGCCUGGGAAUACCCGGUGCUGUAAGCA